Molecule: ribosomal RNA, 253 nt
Filed under: uncultured bacterium
Lineage: Bacteria
Description: partial 16S ribosomal RNA
Rfam family: Bacterial small subunit ribosomal RNA
Source: RNAcentral
UACGUAGGGGGCAAGCGUUGUCCGGAUUUAUUGGGCGUAAAGAGCGUGUAGGCGGUUUGGUAGGUCCGCUGUGAAAACUCGAGGCUCAACCUCGAGACGCCGGUGGAAACCAUCAGACUAGAGUCCGGAAGAGGAGAGUGGAAUUCCUGGUGUAGCGGUGAAAUGCGCAGAUAUCAGGAGGAACACCGGUGGCGAAGGCGGUUCUCUGGGCAUUACCUGACGCUGAGGAGCGAAAGCAUGGGGAGCGAACAGG